GCAUAUCCAAUAAGCGGAGGAAAAGAAACCCAACAGGGAUUGCCUCAGUAACGGCGAGUGAAGCGGCAAAAGCUUCAAAUUUGAAAUCUGGCAUUUUCGGAUGGCCGAGUUGUAAUUUGAAGAACAGUUCUUGGAGAGGCGCCUUGUCUAUGUUCCUUGGAACAGGACGUCGCAGAGGGUGAGAAUCCCGUUUGGCGAGGUGUGCUGAUCCGUGUAAGAGCCGUUCGACGAGUCGAGUUGUUUGGGAAUGCAGCUCUAAGUGGGUGGUAAAUUCCAUCUAAAGCUAAAUAUUGGCGAGAGACCGAUAGCGAACAAGUACAGUGAUGGAAAGAUGAAAAGAACUUUGAAAAGAGAGUGAAAAAGUACGUGAAAUUGUUGAAAGGGAAGGUUAUUAGAUCAGACUUGGGGGGCGGUUAUAUUUGUUCUCUUGUAGGGCAUUCACUAGCUGUCGUUUCCCAGGCCAGCAUCGAUUGGGGCGGCGAGAAAAAGAGGGAGGAAUGUGGCUGUGUGCAUUUUGCGUGCAGUGUUUAUAGCCUCUCUUAAUAUCGCCUGGCUCGAUCGAGGACUGCGGCAUUAUUGCCUAGGAUGCUGGCGUAAUGAUCUAAUAUCGCCCGUCUUGAAACACGGACCAAGGAGUCUAACGUCUAUGCGAGUGUUUGGGUGUAAAACCCGUACGCGUAAUGAAAGUGAACGUAGAUUGGAGCCUCUUCUGAGGUGCACAAUCGACCGAUCCGGAAGUAUUCUGAAGGAUUUGAGUAAGAGCAUAGCUGUUGGGACCCCGAAAAGAUGGUGAAACUAUGCCCUGAAUAGGGUGAAAGCCCAGAGGAAACUCUGGUGGAGGCUCGUAGCGGUUUCUGACGUGCAAAUCGCAUCGUCGAAUUUGGGUAUAGGGGGCGAAAGACUAAUCGAACCAUCUAGUAGCUGGUUCUGCG
RNAcentral lists this ribosomal RNA (932 nucleotides) under Barnettozyma sucrosica. RNAcentral's name for it is "LSU rRNA". It matches the Rfam family "Eukaryotic large subunit ribosomal RNA", at positions 38 to 961 of the family's 3401-position model. The record is from RNAcentral. Lineage: Eukaryota; Fungi; Ascomycota; Saccharomycetes; Phaffomycetales; Phaffomycetaceae.